Molecule: ribosomal RNA, 460 nt
Filed under: uncultured bacterium
Lineage: Bacteria
Description: partial 16S ribosomal RNA
Rfam family: Bacterial small subunit ribosomal RNA
Source: RNAcentral
CCUACGGGUGACAGCAGUGAGGAAUAUUGGUCAAUGGGCGCGAGCCUGAACCAGCCAAGUAGCGUGAAGGAUGACUGCCCUACGGUUUGUAAACUUCUUUUAUAAAGAAGUAAAUGCAUGCACGUGUGCCUUUUUGUAUUUACUUUAUGAAUAAGGAUCGGCUAACUCCGUUCCAGCAGCCGCGGUAAGACGGAGGAUCCGAGCGUUGUCCGGAUUUAUUGGGUUUAAAGGGAGCGUAGAUGGGGUGUUAAGUCAGUUGUUAAAGUUUGGGGCUCAACCUUAAUAUGGCAAUUGAUACUGUAAGACUUGAGUACAGUUGAGGUAGGCGGAAUUCGUGGUGUAGCGGUGAAAUGCUUAGAUAUCACGAAGAACACCGAUAGCGAAGGCAGCUUACUAGCCUGAAACUGACACUGAUGCUCGAAAGUGUGGGUAGCAAACAGGAUUAGAUACCCUUGUAGUC